UGUUUAUUUUUUUGAAGAUAUCAUAAAUAUCAAUAAUAUCUGAUGUUGCACAUUUUUCAAUUGAUUAUUUUUUAAUAUAUAAAUGACAUACAAAAGAAAGAGCGAAGAAUUUUCCAUAAUCGCAUAAAAGGAAAUGAUGCAUUCAUCGACUUAGAUCCAAUAGUAAAAAAGGAAUUCCCAAUUUCAUCAGGUCGCACAGCUACAUCUAUAAGUAUCUAAGAGGUAACGAGGAGUCAUUCUGAUGCAAUAGAGAGACAACGCGAGUCACGAUCGGUCAAGAGGAUUUCCUAUUGAAAUACCGUUGAUGAUGAAUUGAUGAUUAGAUGAAAUUGCAUUUCCGCAACUAUCAUUUUUUUCUGACCGCGAUACCUUAUCUCCAUCAAUAAGAAAAAUUAGCUAUAAGUUAGCUAUUACUCAUCCAAAAAUAUUGAAUGAAACAGAUGAGAUCGAAGAAUGUGAAAUAAAAGUCAAUAGAAGAUAAAAAAAUAUGUGAUGAUAAUUUUUUGUGAUUCUUGAUUAUUUUACCUUGACCAAGAUAUAGCUUUCUCUGUACAUUUUUAUUAUCUUUGCAAUAAUA
This is a long non-coding RNA of Apis dorsata (giant honeybee), 577 nucleotides long. RefSeq lists it as uncharacterized. The record is from RefSeq and is a predicted model, not a curated record. NCBI's taxonomy places the organism in Eukaryota, Metazoa, Arthropoda, Insecta, Hymenoptera, Apidae. The transcript is spliced from 3 exons.